This 30-nucleotide non-coding RNA is filed under the name Rattus norvegicus (Norway rat). Lineage: Eukaryota; Metazoa; Chordata; Mammalia; Rodentia; Muridae. The record is from RNAcentral.
UGGACAGCCACUGAAGAGAGCCAGGCCAGA